GCCUGGCUAGCUCAAUCGGUAGAGCGUGAGACUCUUAUUAAAUCUCAAGGCUGUGGGUUCAAGCCCCACGUCGGGCU
This 77-nucleotide transfer RNA is filed under the name Yarrowia sp. B02. Its description in RNAcentral is "tRNA-Lys". It matches the Rfam family "tRNA". From Rfam's summary of the family: Transfer RNA (tRNA) molecules are approximately 80 nucleotides in length. Their secondary structure includes four short double-helical elements and three loops (D, anti-codon, and T loops). Further hydrogen bonds mediate the characteristic L-shaped molecular structure. tRNAs have two regions of fundamental functional importance: the anti-codon, which is responsible for specific mRNA codon recognition, and the 3' end, to which the tRNAs corresponding amino acid is attached (by aminoacyl-tRNA synthetases). tRNAs cope with the degeneracy of the genetic code in two manners: having more than one tRNA (with a specific anti-codon) for a particular amino acid; and 'wobble' base-pairing, i.e. permitting non-standard base-pairing at the 3rd anti-codon position. The record is from RNAcentral. RNAcentral also lists the same sequence under 2 other names. Lineage: Eukaryota; Fungi; Ascomycota; Dipodascomycetes; Dipodascales.